CUCCCCGGGUGACGAGCGGCGGACGGGUGAGUAAUGUCUGGGAAACUGCCUGAUGGAGGGGGAUAACUACUGGAAACGGUAGCUAAUACCGCAUAACGUCGCAAGACCAAAGAGGGGGACCUUCGGGCCUCUUGCCAUCAGAUGUGCCCAGAUGGGAUUAGCUAGUAGGUGGGGUAAUGGCUCACCUAGGCGACGAUCCCUAGCUGGUCUGAGAGGAUGACCAGCCACACUGGAACUGAGACACGGUCCAGACUCCUACGGGAGGCAGCAGUGGGGAAUAUUGCACAAUGGGCGCAAGCCUGAUGCAGCCAUGCCGCGUGUGUGAAGAAGGCCUUCGGGUUGUAAAGCACUUUCAGCGAGGAGGAAGGUGGUGAGCUUAAUACGCUCAUCAAUUGACGUUACUCGCAGAAGAAGCACCGGCUAACUCCGUGCCAGCAGCCGCGGUAAUACGGAGGGUGCAAGCGUUAAUCGGAAUUACUGGGCGUAAAGCGCACGCAGGCGGUUUGUUAAGUCAGAUGUGAAAUCCCCGGGCUCAACCUGGAACUGCAUUUGAAACUGGCAAGCUAGAGUCUCGU
Molecule: ribosomal RNA, 575 nt
Filed under: Serratia marcescens
Lineage: Bacteria; Pseudomonadati; Pseudomonadota; Gammaproteobacteria; Enterobacterales; Yersiniaceae
Description: bacterial SSU rRNA
Rfam family: Bacterial small subunit ribosomal RNA
Source: RNAcentral